AUUGAACGCUGGCGGCAGGCCUAACACAUGCAAGUCGAGCGAGCGGCGGACGGGUGAGUAAUGUCUGGGGAUCUGCCUGAUAGAGGGGGAUAACUUCUGGAAACGGUGGCUAAUACCGCAUACUAUCGGAUGAACCCAUAUGGGAUUAGCUAGUAGGUGGGGUAAAGGCUCACCUAGGCGACGAUCCCUAACUGGUCUGAGAGGAUGAUCAGCCACACUGGGACUGAGACACGGCCCAGACUCCUACGGGAGGCAGCAGUGGGGAAUAUUGGACAAUGGGCGCAAGCCUGAUGCAGCCAUGCCGCGUGUAUGAAGAAGGCCUUCGGGUUGUAAAGUACUUUCAGCUGGGAGGCGUUACCCGCAGAAUAAGCACCGGCUAACUCCGUGCCAGCAGCCGCGGUAAUUC
This 406-nucleotide ribosomal RNA is filed under the name uncultured bacterium. Its description in RNAcentral is "partial 16S ribosomal RNA". It matches the Rfam family "Bacterial small subunit ribosomal RNA", at positions 30 to 526 of the family's 1533-position model. The record is from RNAcentral.